GCACUGCCAUAUAUCAUGUACAUAAGCCUGAUAGGUUGAUAUGGAUAUAGAUAUUUCUCCCUUAAUUGAUCCUUUAAUGAUAUCGACAAUCAUACGUGCAUCAAGCUAUGGAUAAUCUCGCAUCAUAUCUGUAUUCAAGCAUGUGUGUGAUCCUUUAUAUACCAUAAUCUUUCAUCGCUGCAUCUUGGUCUGAAGGAAUGCAUGGAGAUGCAUGCAUCAAGUAUCAGACUAU
This 232-nucleotide long non-coding RNA is filed under the name Elaeis guineensis (African oil palm). Its description in RNAcentral is "long non-coding RNA (EGUI_LNC024710)". Lineage: Eukaryota; Viridiplantae; Streptophyta; Magnoliopsida; Arecales; Arecaceae. The record is from RNAcentral.